UACGGAUUUUUCAAAUGGCAACAUCUUAGAUUCAGGUGGUGAAAAGAAUUAUAUUGCUUCAAGUUUGAAUGAGACCAUUUGCCGGCAAAACUGUAGCAUCAUUUCCGACCUGGACAAAUGCGAUUUGUGUACCGGUUAUCUGUACAACUACACUUGCAUAGUAUGCAAUUGCUUGAAUCACGGUCAGUGUACUGAAGAUGGCACCUGCAACUGCCAGAAAGGAUUCCACGGAGACAAGUGUCAGCAUA
Molecule: long non-coding RNA, 248 nt
Organism: Sycon ciliatum
Lineage: Eukaryota; Metazoa; Porifera; Calcarea; Leucosolenida; Sycettidae
Exons: 3
Source: RefSeq, a predicted model, not a curated record